GUUGGGGACCCACAUGGGUGUUUGGCGCCAAGGUGGGUUCUAUCUCCACGUGGGGGAUUUUCAAACGUUCAAGUCAUGGCAAUGGAGGAAAAAAAGAAGCUGAAGCCGAUAAAUGUAGAUGAUGACAAAAGACCCCAAAAUUUCUUGAGCAGAUGGGAAUGGGUAACAGGGAAAAGUGAUAGACGUGGAAAUGAAAUUAAAUUUAUAUGUUUUUCUAGGAUUCAUAUCCAUUAGAAUAUGGGAAUAACAACAUUGAGAAAUGCAUAAUGAAUUGCAGUGACCGUUAA
Long non-coding RNA from Gossypium arboreum, 287 nucleotides. RefSeq lists it as uncharacterized. The record is from RefSeq and is a predicted model, not a curated record. NCBI's taxonomy places the organism in Eukaryota, Viridiplantae, Streptophyta, Magnoliopsida, Malvales, Malvaceae. The transcript is spliced from 2 exons.